Molecule: non-coding RNA, 86 nt
Organism: Candidatus Rokubacteria bacterium 13_1_20CM_2_70_7
Lineage: Bacteria; Candidatus Rokuibacteriota
Source: Rfam
GGCGAACGUUGAAGCGAUGAUCUGACAGCCUCACCUGGUCACCAGGGCUGUCGGCGAGCGAAAUGGUGAAACCGGCAACGUGAGCG